RNAcentral lists this ribosomal RNA (493 nucleotides) under uncultured bacterium. Its description in RNAcentral is "partial 16S ribosomal RNA". It matches the Rfam family "Bacterial small subunit ribosomal RNA", at positions 29 to 523 of the family's 1533-position model. The record is from RNAcentral.
AUUGAACGCUGGCGGCAUGCUUUACACAUGCAAGUCGAACGGUAACAGGUUAAGCUGACGAGUGGCGAACGGGUGAGUAAUGCAUCGGAACGUGCCCGAUCGUGGGGGAUAACGCAGCGAAAGCUGCGCUAAUACCGCAUACGAUCUGAGGAUGAAAGCGGGGGACCGUAAGGCCUCGCGCGAUCGGAGCGGCCGAUGUCAGAUUAGGUAGUUGGUGGGGUAAAGGCUCACCAAGCCAACGAUCUGUAGCUGGUCUGAGAGGACGACCAGCCACACUGGGACUGAGACACGGCCCAGACUCCUACGGGAGGCAGCAGUGGGGAAUUCUGGACAAUGGGCGAAAGCCUGAUCCAGCAAUGCCGCGUGCAGGAGGAAGGCCUUCGGGUUGUAAACUGCUUUUGUACGGAGCGAAAAGGCUCUCUCUAAUACAGGGGGCUCAUGACGGUACCGUAAGAAUAAGCACCGGCUAACUACGUGCCAGCAGCCGCCGUAA